This 253-nucleotide ribosomal RNA is filed under the name uncultured bacterium. Its description in RNAcentral is "partial 16S ribosomal RNA". It matches the Rfam family "Bacterial small subunit ribosomal RNA", at positions 524 to 776 of the family's 1533-position model. The record is from RNAcentral.
UACAGAGGUGGCAAGCGUUGUUCGGAAUUACUGGGCGUAAAGGGCGCGUAGGCGGUCUUGCAAGUCCUGUGUGAAAUCCCUCGGCUCAACUGAGGAACUGCACAGGAAACUGCUUGGCUUGAGUUCGGGAGAGGGAAGCGGAAUUCCGGGUGUAGCGGUGAAAUGCGUAGAUAUCCGGAGGAACACCGGUGGCGAAGGCGGCUUCCUGGACCGACACUGACGCUGAGGCGCAAAAGCUAGGGGAGCAAACGGG